UACAGAGGGUGCGAGCGUUGUUCGGAAUUAUUGGGCGUAAAGGGCGCGUAGGCGGUGCGGUAAGUCACCUGUGAAAUCUCCUGGCUCAACUGGGAGCUUGCAGGCGAAACUGCCGUGCUGGAGUGUGGGAGAGGUGCGUGGAAUUCCUGGUGUAGCGGUGAAAUGCGUAGAUAUCAGGAAGAACACCAAUGGCGAAAGCAGCUUUCUGGGACGGUACUGACGCUGAGACGCGAAAGCGUGGGGAGCGAACAGG
RNAcentral lists this ribosomal RNA (253 nucleotides) under uncultured bacterium. RNAcentral describes it as "partial 16S ribosomal RNA". It matches the Rfam family "Bacterial small subunit ribosomal RNA", at positions 524 to 776 of the family's 1533-position model. The record is from RNAcentral.